Molecule: ribosomal RNA, 484 nt
Filed under: uncultured bacterium
Lineage: Bacteria
Description: partial 16S ribosomal RNA
Rfam family: Bacterial small subunit ribosomal RNA
Source: RNAcentral
AUUGAACGCUGGCGGCAGGCCUAACACAUGCAAGUCGAGCGGAUGAAGGGAGCUUGCUCCUGGAUUCAGCGGCGGACGGGUGAGUAAUGCCUAGGAAUCUGCCUGGUAGUGGGGGAUAACGUCCGGAAACGGGCGCUAAUACCGCAUACGUCCUGAGGGAGAAAGUGGGGGAUCUUCGGACCUCACGCUAUCAGAUGAGCCUAGGUCGGAUUGGCUAGUUGGUGGGGUAAAGGCCUACCAAGGCGACGAUCCGUAACUGGUCUGAGAGGAUGAUCAGUCACACUGGAACUGAGACACGGUCCAGACUCCUACGGGAGGCAGCAGUGGGGAAUAUUGGACAAUGGGCGAAAGCCUGAUCCAGCCAUGCCGCGUGUGUGAAGAAGGUCUUCGGAUUGUAAAGCACUUUAAGUUGGGAGGAAGGGCAGUAAGUUAAUACCUCGCUGUUUUGACGUUACCAACAGAAUAAGCACCGGCUAACUUCGUG